UGGUGGGUAGUUUGACUGGGGCGGUCUCCUCCUAAAGAGUAACGGAGGAGCACGAAGGUUGGCUAAUCCUGGUCGGACAUCAGGAGGUUAGUGCAAUGGCAUAAGCCAGCUUGACUGCGAGCGUGACGGCGCGAGCAGGUGCGAAAGCAGGUCAUAGUGAUCCGGUGGUUCUGAAUGGAAGGGCCAUCGCUCAACGGAUAAAAGGUACUCCGGGGAUAACAGGCUGAUACCGCCCAAGAGUUCAUAUCGACGGCGGUGUUUGGCACCUCGAUGUCGGCUCAUCACAUCCUGGGGCUGAAGUAGGUCCCAAGGGUAUGGCUGUUCGCCAUUUAAAGUGGUACGCGAGCUGGGUUUAGAACGUCGUGAGACAGUUCGGUCCCUAUCUGCCGUGGGCGCUGGAGAACUGAGGGGGGCUGCUCCUAGUACGAGAGGACCGGAGUGGACGCAUCACUGGUGUUCGGGUUGUCAUGCCAAUGGCACUG
Molecule: ribosomal RNA, 482 nt
Filed under: Escherichia coli
Lineage: Bacteria; Pseudomonadati; Pseudomonadota; Gammaproteobacteria; Enterobacterales; Enterobacteriaceae
Also listed under: 6 other names
Description: partial 23S ribosomal RNA
Rfam family: Bacterial large subunit ribosomal RNA
Source: RNAcentral